ACCCAAACACUUGGCGAUGGGCGCACGGAAGCUAUGCAUAAAGCAGCAGUAGAAAAGAUAAUAGCAACUCAUGUUUUCCUUUCUUCUCAUUUUUUUCAUUCCAUUGUACAGCAUGCAAGUGUUAAUUUUUUUUGCACAUGUCUGUGUUCUGAUAGCAGCAUGUCGACAACUUGAAGGACAGCAAAGGUUUCAAGGAUGCACCCGAUGCUCCAAGCUUCUCACUGGGAUUUACAGAUGAUGAGGAUUCUCAAAGAAUGGACAAGGAUCAACUUGCAACAGAAGAUGAACUGUACAGAAUCAUAUGCAGACACACUAGGCACGAAGAUGGCACAAUAUUCUUUGAAUCCAAAGAGAUAACACUUACAGCACAAGAGGUAGCAGCGGGCAUGGUUAUGGGGAGAUCGCUAGGCACCAACGCCUUGCAUCUCGGGACUUACGUGCUGUCACAGGACCCUAGAAAGAAGAGGACAAAGAUAAUGUCCCCAUGGGUGUUGAGAAUAUAGCGCAGCCGGGCGGCGAUGGCCACUGGUUCACAUUUGCUGUAAAUAUGCCAGAUAAGAAGUUUCAAAUCAUAGACUCUCUGAGAAAUAGCGACAAUGCUGAAUUGAGAUGGAAAGCAAAUCAGGUGCGUGCAAAAGUGAUCACCCUAUAGAACAAGUACACAUCUAAGGUUGCGGGGUGCAAGAUCCCUACCAUUUACAACUUCGAGACGUAGUUCAUUGAGG
Molecule: long non-coding RNA, 725 nt
Organism: Panicum virgatum (switchgrass)
Lineage: Eukaryota; Viridiplantae; Streptophyta; Magnoliopsida; Poales; Poaceae
Exons: 3
Source: RefSeq, a predicted model, not a curated record